UACGUAGGGGGCAAGCGUUGGUCCGGAAUCAUUGGGCGUAAGAGCGUGUAGGCGGUCCGGUAAGUCCGCUGUGAAAGUCGGGGGCUCAACCCUCGAAUGCCGGUGGAUACUGUCGGGCUAGAGUGCGGAAGAGGCGAGUGGAAUUCCUGGUGUAGCGGUGAAAUGCGCAGAUAUCAGGAGGAACACCUAUUGCGAAGGCAGCUCGCUGGGACGUACUGACGCUGAGACGCGAAAGCGUGGGGAGCAAACAGG
RNAcentral lists this ribosomal RNA (252 nucleotides) under uncultured bacterium. Its description in RNAcentral is "partial 16S ribosomal RNA". It matches the Rfam family "Bacterial small subunit ribosomal RNA", at positions 524 to 776 of the family's 1533-position model. The record is from RNAcentral.